UUUGGUUGACGUACCCUAUGGUUGAUGUUUUUUUAAUCAUCGAAAGAAAGAAAAUUCACCAAUUGUCCCGUUUUCUGCUAAAAUUGCCGUAACCAACGUUUAACAACUGGCCCAUUUCUUCCGCGUGUCCGUGUUUGUGGUCAUUCCGAGGGCCAUCGACCUGUGCAUUUCGCCUGCUGCGGCAGGAAUGUGUUAAACGUUUAAGCAUGAGUGCUUUCUAAAAACCAAAACAAACUAAACCUGCUUUGCUGGGUUGCUCGGGUGGUACGUGUGACUAAUGAACAGUGCCCUCCCCAUUCGUUUCAUUCGAUUGUAAAAUGGGGUUGUUUGCUAGCAGACAAAAUGCCACCGUCGAGGAGACAGAUGUGAGCCUCAACCAUCUGUACAAGUAUCCCCCACGGUCGGGCAACUAUUUCGGGACACAUUUCAUAAUGGGCGGUGAGAGGUUCGAUACUCCGCAACCAGAGGCGUAUCUGUUUGGCGAGAAUGCAGACUUGAACUUUUUAGGAUCCAAACCUACCCCAUUUCCCUACCCACCGCCCCAAGCGACGGAACCAACGAAAACACUGAAAAGUCUUGUAAACAUUCGCAAGGAAUCGGUCCGCUUCGUGAAGGUACUUGACGCUGGCAACAGUGUGAAACCGAUCGUAGGUACGGCUGGUUCCGACCCGGCUGUAAAAUCCAACCCAACGAACAACGGUAGCGUCAGCAAUGGCUACAACAUUGAGUUUAUCUUCGAUGCCGAUUCCGCUUGCCAAAUCACCAUCCACUACUUCUGCAACGAAGACAUCAGGCCGGGUGGGCUAAACUACAUCUCGCGCGAUGCCUCCAUGACGUCGGAAACGUUCCACUUCCAGCGGGGCGUGAACCAACUGUUCUCCGCACCCCAUCACAUUAUCUAUCCGGCGAUGUGCGCCGAGGAGGAUCUAACGUACAGCCCCGAAAAGGAAACCUUUCCAGUCGUCAUCCACUGUGUGGUCGGCGAGGGAAACACUACGACUGCAACGAUCAAUAGCGCCAACAACAACACGACCACCAGCGUCGCCAACGCCACUACCAUCUCUUCCACCGGGGCCACCGGAGACGGGGGCGAUGGGGCCGGCAGCCGCCAGUCACAUGCCACGAUCUGUGUCAUCGAUCACCAUUCCGACGGAACGUAUGCGUUACGUGCGUUGAAGCAAAAAAUUUUCGUCGAUGGUCUGUACUACCUGCUGCAGGAGAUUUACGGCAUCGAGAACAAGCUGGCCAACAAAUCGCUCACGGACGAGGAGACGGAGGAUAAUGGUAGCGAGUGCGUCAUCUGCAUGUGUGACACGCGCGACACACUUAUACUGCCCUGCCGGCAUCUGUGCCUGUGCAACUCGUGUGCAGACUCGCUACGCUACCAGGCUAACAAUUGCCCGAUCUGCCGGGCUCCGUUCCGUGCGCUGUUGCAGAUACGAGCAGUUCAGAAGGAUGGUGGCGGUGGUCUUCCCUGUAGCGGAAGUGCACCAGCGGCCCAAAAUUCUGGCGAUAGCGCUGAUAACAUUCCUGCCGGCUACAAGACCAUAUCACUCAUCGAAGCGCUAAACGGACCCACAGUUUCAAUGAAAGCGAUAAACGGCAGUAACGACUCAACUGCCGGGACGGAAAACGGUAGCGAGAACAAUCGGGCUGCCGAGAAUGGGUACGCGUUCCGCAACAAAAUGACCAAGUCAUCGACGGACCACAGCAGCAACGGCGAGCUCGCCAACGGAAGUAUCGUGUCGGAAAAGUCAUCGUCCGACAUCAGGAUGCAUUUACUUUCGUCCGAAGAAGCUACCAACGCGAUUGGGGACGGUGGCACGGGUGCAUCGAUCGUCGGCGGCAUAGCAAAUCCGUCGGCGACCGUCUGCACCAAGAAGGAGUUGCUGUCCAAACAUUCGCCGCUCAUGCAGCGUGCCCCGGUCAGCAAGGACAAGAACCCACGGGAAAAGGGCAGUCUUCACCGCACUGGAAACAACGCCGCCAGCAACGGGUCGAAAGCGAAAUCACCAUCCGAUCGUAGCACGAUGGGCUUUCAUCUCGUGCACGAGAAGGUGGCCCCGACUAGUGCCGGUGGCCCCGGUGGAAAGCUGACCGAAACGAAGCUAACCGAGCUAGCGGAAAACGAUGACGAUAGUGAGGCGGAGAAGCUGUCUCCGCUGUUGCGCAAAUCGGACAGUUACGACGCUGGCAAGAAACUUUCCACACACGGCGACAGUGCGAUGAAGAAGCUGCUGAUCGGCGGAACCGGAGGGAACGGAAUCAACGGACUGGAUGGCAGCGAGAAAACAUCACCUUCCGCCGUAAUAACGGAACUGCUGAAGGGUGCCAUCAUUGGCAGUGAUGAUAUGGCGGUUGAUGGCAGUACGGAGAUGGGACUGUCGGUCGUCGGUGGUACCAGAGGUGUUGUCGCUGGUGGUGGUGCUAUUAUAUCGAUCGUAACGGACGACUCCGAAGAUUACUACACGCCGGAAGAUCCGCCCGCAACGAGCCCACUGAAAUCGAUCGACGAUGAUGACGAGCUUCCGAAGCUGGCCGACAUUGAUGCUGGCCGGAAGCUGCUCGUAGCCUCCGUAACGACUGCCCCCGGUUCGGCCAUAGUCUCGGUACCGCCCGCAGCCCUGGCGGUAUUGAAGGAGGAGUUUUCGCAGGGUUCGCUGCCGGACAGCCCGAUCAGUGGAAACUCGCAGACGUCGACGCGCAGCUCGAGCGACAGCUAUUCGUCCAGCUCCAGCACGCGCCAGCUGCUUUCGUCUGGCGCCGUUCCUAACGACACUCCAACCCAUGUGCUGAGCUCGUGCGAUUCGACCACUGCCAACGGGCAUAGCAGUGUUUCGAAGGCGGCCGAGUGUGCGAUCGAGAGUGACUAGACGACUGCGCGGCGGCGGCUGCUCGACGCCCGGCGCAUGUACGAUGAAUUGGUGCUGCUUACUAAGAACUAGGAACAAUGUUUCUUCGAUACUGGAAACAUUAACAAAGGUUGCCCCAGCCCGGUGCUGAUGCACCGGUGCAAUGAUGUCACCGUGUUUAACGCCCCCUCCGUAAUCGUAAGCGUGUUUGGAAACUCUGUUCAUUAUCGCAAUAUGUCCUUACAUCACACUACGUCCGUAUCGUGCGUUUUUGAAAUUCCUGCCUCCCCCUCUUCCCCCCCCGUUUUAAGUCAUUAAUAUUGGCUGUCGUUUUCUUUGCGCGAUGGCUACGAUCUGUGUUAGUUUAAUUGUCCCCAUUGUUUGCUAUCGGACUGCUAAGUGUACUCUAUCGGAUCAAACCAAGCGUAGCAUAACAUGCAAUGAUAAACGUAGGUGUAAAACUUUGAGUAACAUGAUAAUAAAACUGAUAUUUUCAUAUUUAAA
Anopheles stephensi (Asian malaria mosquito) is the source of this 3356-nucleotide RNA transcript. It is a transcript of the gene named E3 ubiquitin ligase RNF157, with no coding region annotated. The record is from RefSeq and is a predicted model, not a curated record. NCBI's taxonomy places the organism in Eukaryota, Metazoa, Arthropoda, Insecta, Diptera, Culicidae. The transcript has 6 exons.